RNAcentral lists this ribosomal RNA (292 nucleotides) under uncultured bacterium. RNAcentral describes it as "partial 16S ribosomal RNA". The record is from RNAcentral.
GGACUACUGGGGUAUCUAAUCCUGUUUGCUCCCCACGCUUUCGUGUCUCAGCGUCAGUACUCGUCCAGUUGGCCGCCUUCGCCACAGGUAUUCCUCUCGAUAUCUACGAAUUUCACCUCUACACCGAGAAUUCUACCAACCUCUCCGGUACUCGAGCCACGCAGUUUCCGAUGCACUUCCUGAGUUGAGCCCAGGGAUUUCACAUCCGACUUACGCGGCCGCCUACACACGCUUUACGCCCAGUAAUUCCGAACAACGUUUGCACCCUCUGUCUUACCGCGGCUGCUGGCAC